CAACGAAUAUUCCGCAAUGGGCGAAAGCCUGACGGAGCGACGCCGCGUGCAGGAUGAAGUCUUUCGGGAUGUAAACUGCUGUCGGGGGUCAGAAAUUCUGAUCAGCCCCACAGGAAGCCUCGGCUAACUCCGUGCCAGCAGCCGCGGUAAUACGGAGGAGGCAAGCGUUGUUCGGAAUCACUGGGCUUAAAGCGCGUGUAGGCGGGGUGUAGGGUGUUUAGUGAAAGCCCUCGGCUCAACCGAGGAAUGGCUGGGCAAACCGACACUCUUGAGGCAGGCAGAGGUAACCGGAACCUUUGGUGGAGCGGUGAAAUGCGUAGAGAUCAAAGGGAACGCCGGUGGCGAAAGCGGGUUACUGGGCCUGAACUGACGCUGAGACGCGAAAGCGUGGGUAGCAAACA
This 401-nucleotide ribosomal RNA is filed under the name uncultured prokaryote. Its description in RNAcentral is "bacterial SSU rRNA". It matches the Rfam family "Bacterial small subunit ribosomal RNA", at positions 355 to 774 of the family's 1533-position model. The record is from RNAcentral.